Molecule: ribosomal RNA, 655 nt
Filed under: uncultured bacterium
Lineage: Bacteria
Description: bacterial SSU rRNA
Rfam family: Bacterial small subunit ribosomal RNA
Source: RNAcentral
ACGCUGGCGGCAGGCCUAACACAUGCAAGUCGAGCGGUAGAGAGAAGCUUGCUUCUCUUGAGAGCGGCGGACGGGUGAGUAAUGCCUAGGAAUCUGCCUGGUAGUGGGGGAUAACGUCCGGAAACGGACGCUAAUACCGCAUACGUCCUACGGGAGAAAGCAGGGGACCUUCGGGCCUUGCGCUAUCAGAUGAGCCUAGGUCGGAUUAGCUAGUUGGUGGGGUAAUGGCUCACCAAGGCGACGAUCCGUAACUGGUCUGAGAGGAUGAUCAGUCACACUGGAACUGAGACACGGUCCAGACUCCUACGGGAGGCAGCAGUGGGGAAUAUUGGACAAUGGGCGAAAGCCUGAUCCAGCCAUGCCGCGUGUGUGAAGAAGGUCUUCGGAUUGUAAAGCACUUUAAGUUGGGAGGAAGGGCAGUAAAUUAAUACUUUGCUGUUUUGACGUUACCGACAGAAUAAGCACCGGCUAACUCUGUGCCAGCAGCCGCGGUAAUACAGAGGGGUGCAAGCGUUAAUCGGAAUUACUGGGCGUAAAGCGCGCGUAGGUGGUUCGUUAAGUUGGAUGUGAAAUCCCCGGGCUCACCUGGGAACUGCAUUCAAACUGACGAGCUAGAGUAUGGUAGAGGGUGGUGGAAUUUCCUGUGUAGCGGUGA